RNAcentral lists this ribosomal RNA (254 nucleotides) under uncultured bacterium. Its description in RNAcentral is "partial 16S ribosomal RNA". It matches the Rfam family "Bacterial small subunit ribosomal RNA", at positions 524 to 776 of the family's 1533-position model. The record is from RNAcentral.
UACGUAGGGUGCGAGCGUUAAUCGGAAUUACUGGGCGUAAAGCGUGCGCAGGCGGUCUGUUAAGACCGCUGUGAAAUCCCCGGGCUUAACCUGGGAACUGCAUUGGUGACUGGCAGGCUUUGAGUGUGGCAGAGGGAGGUAGAAUUCCACGUGUAGCAGUGAAAUGCGUAGAGAUGUGGAGGAACACCGAUGGCGAAGGCAGCAUCCUGGGCCAACACUGACGCUCAUGCACGAAAGCGUGGGGAGCAAACAGG